UAAAAUGAUGAAGAUUUUAAUUUUCCGUUGGUCUAUUAAGAACAGAAGUACUUCAAAACUACUUUUUAAGACCAUCCUUUAACAAUGUUUCUUUUAAUAUUGUUAAACUUCUCAUUUACUUUGCGUCUUUAUGGUCUCAUCGUUCUGAUGGAUCGUAAUUUAGACACGAGGUAUACUUCAUUAAUUUGUUGGAGAAUAUUGGGAGUCUUUUAAUGUGAUGAGUGGCCAACACAACCUAUAGUCAUAGUUACACUGAUU
This is a small nucleolar RNA of 258 nucleotides. It matches the Rfam family "Small nucleolar RNA snR63".